GACGAACGCUGGCGGCGUGCCUAAUACAUGCAAGUAGAACGCUGAAGAGAGGAGCUUGCUCUUCUUGGAUGAGUUGCGAACGGGUGAGUAACGCGUAGGUAACCUGCCUUGUAGCGGGGGAUAACUAUUGGAAACGAUAGCUAAUACCGCAUAACAAUGGAUGACACAUGUCAUUUAUUUGAAAGGGGCAAUUGUUCCACUACAAGAUGGACCUGCGUUGUAUUAGCUAGUAGGUGAGGUAAUGGCUCACCUAGGCGACGAUACAUAGCCGACCUGAGAGGGUGAUCGGCCACACUGGGACUGAGACACGGCCCAGACUCCUACGGGAGGCAGCAGUAGGGAAUCUUCGGCAAUGGGGGCAACCCUGACCGAGCAACGCCGCGUGAGUGAAGAAGGGUUUCGGAUCGGAAAGCUCUGUUGUAAGUCAAGAACGGGUGUGAGAGUGGAAAGUUCACACUGUGACGGUAGCUUACCAGAAAGGGACGGCUAACUACGUG
RNAcentral lists this ribosomal RNA (497 nucleotides) under uncultured bacterium. Its description in RNAcentral is "partial 16S ribosomal RNA". It matches the Rfam family "Bacterial small subunit ribosomal RNA", at positions 28 to 507 of the family's 1533-position model. The record is from RNAcentral.